GUUGCAAAAGAGAAGGAGGG
RNAcentral lists this unclassified non-coding RNA (20 nucleotides) under Mus musculus (house mouse). Its description in RNAcentral is "oocyte_clustered_small_RNA8672". Lineage: Eukaryota; Metazoa; Chordata; Mammalia; Rodentia; Muridae. The record is from RNAcentral.